GAGUCUGAAUAGGGCGUUGAGUAUUUGGUCGUAGACCCGAAACCAGGUGAUCUACCCAUGGUCAGGUUGAAGUUCAGGUAACACUGAAUGGAGGACCGAACCGACUUACGUUGAAAAGUGAGCGGAUGAACUGUGGGUAGCGGAGAAAUUCCAAUCGAACUUGGAGAUAGCUGGUUCUCUCCGAAAUAGCUUUAGGGCUAGCCUCAAGUGAUGAUUAUUGGAGGUAGAGCACUGUUUGGACGAGGGGCCCCUCUCGGGUUACCGAAUUCAGACAAACUCCGAAUGCCAAUUAAUUUAACUUGGGAGUCAGAACAUGGGUGAUAAGGUCCGUGUUCGAAAGGGAAACAGCCCAGACCACCAGCUAAGGUCCCAAAAUAUAUGUUAAGUGGAAAAGGAUGUGGCGUUGCCCAGACAACUAGGAUGUUGGCUUAGAAGCAGCCAUCAUUUAAAGAGUGCGUAAUAGCUCACUAGUCGAGUGACACUGCGCCGAAAAUGUACCGGGGCUAAACAUAUUACCGAAGCUGUGGAUUGUCCGUAGGACAAUGGUAGGAGAGCGUUCUAAGGGCGUUGAAGCAUGAUCGCAAGGACAUGUGGAGCGCUUAGAAGUGAGAAUGCCGGUGUGAGUAGCGAAAGACGGGUGAGAAUCCCGUCCACCGAUUGACUAAGGUUUCCAGAGGAAGGCUCGUCCGCUCUGGGUUAGUCGGGUCCUAAGCUGAGGCCGACAGGCGUAGGCGAUGGAUAACAGGUUGAUAUUCCUGUACCACCUAGCAUCGUUUUAAUCGAUGGGGGGAC
This 792-nucleotide ribosomal RNA is filed under the name Staphylococcus haemolyticus. RNAcentral's name for it is "partial 23S ribosomal RNA". It matches the Rfam family "Bacterial large subunit ribosomal RNA", at positions 679 to 1473 of the family's 2925-position model. The record is from RNAcentral. Lineage: Bacteria; Bacillati; Bacillota; Bacilli; Caryophanales; Staphylococcaceae.